GUGGGGAAUAUUGCACAAUGGGCGCAAGCCUGAUGCAGCCAUGCCGCGUGUGUGAAGAAGGCCUUCGGGUUGUAAAGCACUUUCAGUCGUGAGGAAGGUAGUGUAGUUAAUAGCUGCAUUAUUUGACGUUAGCGACAGAAGAAGCACCGGCUAACUCCGUGCCAGCAGCCGCGGUAAUACGGAGGGUGCGAGCGUUAAUCGGAAUUACUGGGCGUAAAGCGCAUGCAGGUGGUUUGUUAAGUCAGAUGUGAAAGCCCGGGGCUCAACCUCGGAAUAGCAUUUGAAACUGGCAGACUAGAGUACUGUAGAGGGGGGUAGAAUUUCAGGUGUAGCGGUGAAAUGCGUAGAGAUCUGAAGGAAUACCGGUGGCGAAGGCGGCCCCCUGGACAGAUACUGACACUCAGAUGCGAAAGCGUGGGGAGCAAACAGGAUUAGAAACCCCAGUAGUCC
RNAcentral lists this ribosomal RNA (450 nucleotides) under uncultured Vibrionaceae bacterium. RNAcentral's name for it is "bacterial SSU rRNA". It matches the Rfam family "Bacterial small subunit ribosomal RNA", at positions 354 to 796 of the family's 1533-position model. The record is from RNAcentral. Lineage: Bacteria; Pseudomonadati; Pseudomonadota; Gammaproteobacteria; Vibrionales; Vibrionaceae.